Molecule: ribosomal RNA, 100 nt
Filed under: Fukomys damarensis (Damara mole-rat)
Lineage: Eukaryota; Metazoa; Chordata; Mammalia; Rodentia; Bathyergidae
Source: RNAcentral
UUUAGUCACCCUGAACACACCAAACUCUUCUGAUCUCAGAAGCUAAGCAGGGUCGGGCCUGCUUAGUACUUGGAUGGGAGGGGAAAAGCUGCCUUUGAAU